AAUGACUCUCGGCAACGGAUAUCUCGGCUCUCGCAUCGAUGAAGAACGUAGCGAAAUGCGAUACCUGGUGUGAAUUGCAGAAUCCCGUGAACCAUCGAGUCUUUGAACGCAAGUUGCGCCUGAAGCCAAUAGGCUGAAGGCACGUCUGCCUGGGCGUCACGC
RNAcentral lists this ribosomal RNA (162 nucleotides) under Bougainvillea spectabilis. RNAcentral's name for it is "5.8S ribosomal RNA". It matches the Rfam family "5.8S ribosomal RNA". From Rfam's summary of the family: 5.8S ribosomal RNA (5.8S rRNA) is a component of the large subunit of the eukaryotic ribosome. It is transcribed by RNA polymerase I as part of the 45S precursor that also contains 18S and 28S rRNA. The record is from RNAcentral. Lineage: Eukaryota; Viridiplantae; Streptophyta; Magnoliopsida; Caryophyllales; Nyctaginaceae.